This 423-nucleotide ribosomal RNA is filed under the name uncultured bacterium. RNAcentral describes it as "partial 16S ribosomal RNA". It matches the Rfam family "Bacterial small subunit ribosomal RNA", at positions 361 to 776 of the family's 1533-position model. The record is from RNAcentral.
AUAUUGGACAAUGGGGGGAACCCUGAUCCAGCCAUGCCGCGUGUGUGAAGAAGGUNUUNNGAUUGNANAGCACUUUAAGUUGGNNNNNAGAGUUGUAGGAUAAUACCUUGCAAUUUUGACGUUACCAACAGAAUAAGCACCGGCUAACCUCGUGCCAGCAGCCGCGGUAAUACGAAGGGUGCAAGCGUUAAUCGGAAUUACUGGGCGUAAAGCGCGCGUAGGUGGUUCGUUAAGUUGGAAGUGAAAGCCCCGGGCUUAACCUGGGAAUUGCUUUCAAAACUGACGAGCUAGAGUACGGUAGAGGGUAGUGGAAUUUCCUGUGUAGCGGUGAAAUGCGUAGAUAUAGGAAGGAACAUCAGUGGCGAAGGCGACUACCUGGACUGAUACUGACACUGAGGUGCGAAAGCGUGGGGAGCAAACAGG